AAUUUAAGCAGCACACCCAAGGUUUGUAUAAUAACUUGCACAGUUUGCCCGUUAUUCUGGGAAGUAGUACAGUAAUCAUCCCCUUCAUUGAGCGUUAGGGCUUUUCGAAAUGGCAAACGAGGCCCAAGAUGUUCGCAGGCCACCGUUAAUGGCGAUAAUGUACAAUCUCUCUGCGACGUCGUCCAAGAGUUGCCUAGACGCGCCGUCAUAGACUUAUGGUCCACCGGGGUAUGCACCAGAUGCAUCUUACGGUUCUUUGGGAUCAGAGAGAAUGUUUACUAUCGUUCUCACUAUCGCGGUCAAUCUUGAGUUCACUUCUUGGAGAUUCUGAGAAACAUUUGGUGGAUAGUAAAGCAAGAGAACCGGUAGCUUGUAGCGUUUGCUUGGGGAUCUUGCAGUCAGUUAUUCUGUUGAUAAGAAGUUGGUGGCAGAAAGGGAGAGUGCCGACGAGUUGGCUGUUUCCAUUUCCAAUCUGAUUAGGCAACAGGGCUUUCAGAUUGACAGCUUUUCUCUUGAAGUGUCCGUACCUCCAAUUAUCCAGGAAAAUGAUCGCAUUGCUUGGCUGUAUAUGAAAAGAAAGUUUGAAUCUGAACUUUGGUUCCAAGGAAAACCACUUCCUGAAUGCAUUUCUGCAAAGGAUGCUCUAAAAAUUUCUCUUGCGGUGACCCUUGAAACAUUGUUACUAUGCGCUGGCAAUGGUUUGGACAGAAUUGAUGGUGACAUCAAAUGCUCUGGCUUUUCAACAAGUGAAGUUGAUGCGGUUGUUGAAAGGUCUUUCUUGAGUUUGCAAGCUAAUGAGUUGCCUGAGUGCCUGAAGUUACCUUUAGAGCAGUCCAGUGAACCUUGCUGUUUAGAGUUUCUCCGCUACCGGACUCAAAUCUACAUUGGUGGGAGAUACCUGAAGUACUCGAGAAAUGUGAGUCAAACCUGUUGGAUUAUUGAUGAUGAGAGAAUGGGAGAAGCAUCUGUCGAGGAGAUACUAGAUAGCAACAUUCUUCCUAUGUGUUGUGGUGAUAACUACAAGUUUCAUGCUGCCGGAAGAGAAGAUAUCGAUGUACGGAUUUCUGGAAGGCCUUUCCAGCUUGAGAUACAAAACGCACGCCUUGUCCCAUCUGAUGAGUCUGUAAAAAGUUUGGAAACGGAGAUAAAUAAAUUGGUUUGAAAAAUCUGAAACUGGUUGACAGUCGGUCAUGGGAUCUGAUGCGUGAAGGGGAAGCAGAGAAACAGAAGCAGUACGUCGCGCGAGUGGAUUUCUUGCCCUCUCAAGGAUGAAGAUUUGCAUUCUAUAUCUUCACUAAGACAUGGUGAGCGGUUUUCUAAGACUUUUAAUAGUUUUCUACUUGGUUAUUGUCAACUAUAAAGGGUGACAUUAUGUUGACAGAGUAGGGCUCUGUUCAUUGAGUGAGGAUCCUUGCCUGAUCCCCUUUGUGAGGAUCCCGAGAAAAACAUGUGGUGCAACGAGAAUGACUCGAAAAUAGGCUUAUGAUGAAUUUUACAAAAUUUCGCAAAACCAAUUGAAAUUUUUAGUUUUGGAAAAUCUUUUGCGUGGAAACUGAGGAACAUGUUACAAGAUCUUUGGAUGUAGUCGUGGAAUUUAUUGGGUCCAAAAGUAUUUUUUAUGAAUUUUUAAUGUUGAAAGUAGAAAAAUUAAAGCGUGGGAAAAUAUUACAAGAUCUUUGAAUGCAA
Malus domestica (apple) is the source of this 1686-nucleotide non-coding RNA. The record is from RefSeq and is a predicted model, not a curated record. Lineage: Eukaryota; Viridiplantae; Streptophyta; Magnoliopsida; Rosales; Rosaceae.